This 462-nucleotide ribosomal RNA is filed under the name uncultured bacterium. RNAcentral's name for it is "partial 16S ribosomal RNA". It matches the Rfam family "Bacterial small subunit ribosomal RNA", at positions 28 to 507 of the family's 1533-position model. The record is from RNAcentral.
GACGAACGCUGGCGGCGUGCUUAACACAUGCAAGUCGAACGGUAAGGCCCUUCGGGGUACACGUGCGGCGAACGGGUGCGUAACACGAGCGCGAUCUGACCUGCACUUCGGGAUAAGCCUGGGUACCUGGGUCUAAUACCAGUUCUGACUUCCUAUCCCUUCGUCGGUGGUGGAAAGAUUCAUCGGUGCAGGAUGGGCCCGCGGCCUAUCAGCUUGUUGGUGGGGUAGUGGCCUACCAAGGCGAUGACGGGUAGCCGGCCUGAGAGGGUGACCGGCCACAUUGGGACUGAGACACGGCCCAGACUCCUACGGGAGGCAGCAGUGGGGAAUAUUGCACAAUGGGCGGAAGCCUGAUGCAGCGACGCCGCGUGAGGGAUGACGGCCUUCGGGUUGUAAACCGCUUUCGGCAGGGACGAAGCGUGAGUGACGGUACCGGCAGAAGAAGCACCGGCUAACUACGUG